GACGAACCGUGCGAACGUUGUUCGGAAUCACUGGGCUUAAAGGGUGCGUAGGCGGGCGAUCAAGUCAGGGGUGAAAUCCUCCAGCUUAACUGGAGAACUGCCUUUGAUACUGGUCAUCUUGAGUGAGGUAGGGGCGUGCGGAACUGAUGGUGGAGCGGUGAAAUGUGUUGAUAUCAUCAGGAACUCCGGUGGCGAAAGCGGCGCGCUGGACCUUUACUGACGCUGAGGCACGAAAGCCAGGGGAGCGAACGGG
This 253-nucleotide ribosomal RNA is filed under the name uncultured bacterium. Its description in RNAcentral is "partial 16S ribosomal RNA". It matches the Rfam family "Bacterial small subunit ribosomal RNA", at positions 524 to 776 of the family's 1533-position model. The record is from RNAcentral.